Molecule: unclassified non-coding RNA, 920 nt
Filed under: Hevea brasiliensis (rubber tree)
Lineage: Eukaryota; Viridiplantae; Streptophyta; Magnoliopsida; Malpighiales; Euphorbiaceae
Source: RNAcentral
AACUGUCAAGACAAGAAAAUUUCCAUUCACUAUGUGAUGUCUGAGCAGCUUUUGAUGCCUCAUGCUCACUAACAGAAGCACUCCUCAACAUGUCAAGAAAAUAGGAUACUUCAGUUUUCCUUUUUUCUAUCACAUUCUCAGUACAUCCUUCAUUCUCAUUAGGUGAGGACCGGAGGAGCUGAUUCCUCACAAGGGUUUUAAGUGCAUCAUCAUUCGUCAGUUCAGGGGAUGCCAAAGUCCUGUCCAGCCUUUCUCUAUAUUCCGAUAUCUUCCCAUUCUUCCCCAUCUUUGCCUCUCCAAGCAAAUAAAAGGAUCCCUGUCUAAACUAUAGGGUGUAAACUAACUCACUUGAUAACAAAUUGCUAUCAUCUCCUCAAGUGAGCUUUCCUUAGCUGGAACCCAGUUGCACUUUUCUAAAAUUCUGAACACUACCCUGAUUAAAAUCACUGAGACUUCUCACAAGCCCACUGGGUGCAGAUCUCAAUAUAAAACCAUCAUGACAGAUGAGACAAAGGCACCUGAUUCGUGACAACAAAGACGGGUAAAAAACACGGUCGCUUCUUGAACUUGACGAAUUCCAGACACAUAACAGAAGAAUCACCCAAGAAAACCAAAAACCAGACCUUUCCCAAAAUCACUAGUAAACAUUAAAAAAGCAACUUAAAAUCCAUUAACAGCCAGUGAAGUUGACGCUGGUUUGGUGGAGUUAUACUGAUUUCAGGACAGUCUUUGAAUGUUCCACGAGUAGGGGAAACGAAACAAGAUAAAUUCCCAGGCAGUGGAUUAUACGGAGGAAUGACAGGCAACUAAAGAUUGUAAAUUUAAUUAAAAAACUGAAAAUGUCAGGCCAGCUUUUUCUGACUGAUUGAAAGAUGAGAGAAUGGGAUGCGUGGGCAUUUCUCUCUUGCAUCUCGAACGUG